RNAcentral lists this ribosomal RNA (524 nucleotides) under uncultured dictyochophyte. RNAcentral describes it as "SSU rRNA". It matches the Rfam family "Eukaryotic small subunit ribosomal RNA", at positions 451 to 974 of the family's 1831-position model. The record is from RNAcentral. Lineage: Eukaryota; Dictyochophyceae.
CUGACACAGGGAGGUAGUGACAAAAAAUAACAAUGCCGGGCGUUUUCACGUCUGGCAAUUGGAAUGAGAGCGAUUUAAAUCCCCCAUCGAGGAUCAAUUGGAGGGCAAGUCUGGUGCCAGCAGCCGCGGUAAUUCCAGCUCCAAUAGCGUAUAUUAAAGUUGUUGCAGUUAAAAAGCUCGUAGUUGGAUUUCUGGCGUCGCCGCCCGGUUGGCCUCGAAAGGGGUAUGUACUGGGGCGCGCGUCGCCAUCCUCGGGGGAAGGUCGUCUGGCAUUAGGUUGUCGGACGGUCGACGCUCGUCGUUUACUGUGAACAAAUUAGAGUGUUCAAAGCAGGCUUAGGCCGUUGAAUACAUUAGCAUGGAAUAAUGAGAUAGGACUUUGGUGGUCUAUUUUGUUGGUUUGCACGCCGAAGUAAUGAUUAAUAGGGGCGUUGGGGGUAUUCGUAUUCAAUUGUCAGAGGUGAAAUUCUUGGAUUUAUGGAAGACGAACUACUGCGAAAGCAUUUACCAAGGAUGUUUUCAUU